Molecule: ribosomal RNA, 2017 nt
Filed under: Legionella pneumophila
Lineage: Bacteria; Pseudomonadati; Pseudomonadota; Gammaproteobacteria; Legionellales; Legionellaceae
Description: partial 23S ribosomal RNA
Rfam family: Bacterial large subunit ribosomal RNA
Source: RNAcentral
CUAGGGGGCUGUCAUGGCUUACCAAACCGAUGCAAACUCCGAAUACCGGCUAAUUGAAUCACGGGAGACACACGGCGGGUGCUAACGUCCGUCGUGGAGAGGGAAACAACCCAGACCGCCAGCUAAGGUCCCCAAGUACUAGUUAAGUGGGAAACGAUGUGGGAAGGCAUAGACAGCCAGGAGGUUGGCUUAGAAGCAGCCACCCUUUAAAGAAAGCGUAAUAGCUCACUGGUCGAGUCGGCCUGCGCGGAAGAUGUAACGGGGCUAAAACUAGUCACCGAAGCUGCGGAUGUGCGCGAAGGCGCACGUGGUAGGGGAGCGUUCUGUAGGCUGAUGAAGGUGCAUUGAGAAGUGUGCUGGAGGUAUCAGAAGUGCGAAUGCUGACAUGAGUAACGAUAAUGUGGGUGAAAAGCCCACACGCCGGAAGUCCCAGGUUUCCUGCACGACGUUAAUCGGAGCAGGGUGAGUCGGCCCCUAAGGCGAGGCUGAAGAGCGUAGUCGAUGGGAACCAGGUUAAUAUUCCUGGACUUUUUAUAAGUGGUGAAGUGGGGACGAAGAAGGCUAGGUGAGCCAGGCGUUGGUUGUCCUGGUACUUGCAUGUAGGGGGGAAGACUUGGCAAAUCCGGUUUUCCAUAACUCUGAGGUGCGAAGUGGUUCUGACCUUUUGGUACAGAGAAGUCAUUGAUGCCCGGCUUCCAGGAAAAGCUGCUAGCCAUAACUUAUAGAGAACCGUACCGCAAACCGACACAGGUGGACAGGUAGAGAAUACUAAGGCGCUUGAGAGAACUCGGGUGAAGGAACUAGGCAAAAUGGUACCGUAACUUCGGGAGAAGGUACGCCCUUUCUGGUGAUGGGAUUUACUUUCAGAGCUGGAGAGGGCCGCAGAGACCAGGUGGCUGCGACUGUUUAUUAAAAACACAGCACUCUGCAAAUUCGUAAGAAGACGUAUAGGGUGUGACGCCUGCCCGGUGCCGGAAGGUUAAUUGAUGGGGUUAUCUUCGGAGAAGCUCUUGAUCGAAGCCCCGGUAAACGGCGGCCGUAACUAUAACGGUCCUAAGGUAGCGAAAUUCCUUGUCGGGUAAGUUCCGACCUGCACGAAUGGCGUAACGAUGGCCACACUGUCUCCACCCGAGACUCAGUGAAAUUGAAAUCGCUGUGAAGAUGCAGUGUACCCGCGGCUAGACGGAAAGACCCCGUGAACCUUUACUAUAGUUUUGCACUGGACUUUGAUGAUGACUGUGUAGGAUAGGUGGGAGGCUGUGAAGUGAGGACGCUAGUUCUCAUGGAGCCGCCCUUGAAAUACCACCCUGUUGUUAUUGAGGUUCUAACUUGGUCCAGUAAUCCUGGAUGAGGACAGUGUAUGAUGGGUAGUUUGACUGGGGCGGUCUCCUCCCAAAGAGUAACGGAGGAGCACAAAGGUACCCUCGGUACGGUCGGACAUCGUACCAAGAGUGUAAAGGCAAAAGGGUGCUUGACUGCGAGAGUGACGGCUCGAGCAGGAACGAAAGUUGGUCUUAGUGAUCCGGUGGUUCUGAAUGGAAGGGCCAUCGCUCAACGGAUAAAAGGUACUCCGGGGAUAACAGGCUGAUACCGCCCAAGAGUUCAUAUCGACGGCGGUGUUUGGCACCUCGAUGUCGGCUCAUCACAUCCUGGGGCUGAAGCAGGUCCCAAGGGUAUGGCUGUUCGCCAUUUAAAGUGGUACGCGAGCUGGGUUUAGAACGUCGUGAGACAGUUCGGUCCCUAUCUGCCGUGGGCGUAGGAAAAUUGAGAGGAGCUGCUCCUAGUACGAGAGGACCGGAGUGGACGAACCUCUGGUGCACCGGUUGUCACGCCAGUGGCAUGGCCGGGUAGCUAAGUUCGGACGGGAUAACCGCUGAAAGCAUCUAAGCGGGAAGCCUCCCUCAAGAUGAGUUUUCCCAUGAAGCCCGUUGAAGACUACGACGUUGAUAGGCAAGGUGUGGAAGCGCAGUAAUGCGUGAAGCUAACUUGUACUAAUUGGCUGAUUGUCUUGACCAUA